CUCAGGGAAGUGUUGAAAGUGCUCAUGAGGACAUAUUGCAAUGUAAGUCAGCAUAUUGGCACAUUCCACGAGUAGAUGCGCUGGAAUCUUGUCUGGUUCGGCAACUUGAUAUGAAGAGUCUGGAUAUGAUCCAUUUUUGCUUUCUGAGUCGUGAAAAAAGGUUUGAGUCGCAAAAGCUUAUUUGUUUUUCAAACAAUGCAGAGGACUCUACAUGGUUAGAGUGUUGGGGUCUAUAUGUCUAUCCGUGGGAGUUUCCAGAGCACGGUCAGAGGCCAAGUGAUUCCAAUCCAAACUCAUCCGAGCAUGUUUUGUGCAUAGCAGUCACAGUGGAAGAGGAAAGAGACAUCCAGAAAGUCUUGGAAGCAUAACACUUGAUUAAGAUUUGUGAGUGGAGUAGUUCAGUCUGUAUAGUUUAACAGCCAGAAUUAAAUUUUUAAGGAGAUUAGAAAUGUGUCUAAAUAAUAAAGCGUAAGAAUACAUUCUAAAAAGAAA
Molecule: long non-coding RNA, 492 nt
Organism: Syngnathus typhle (broad-nosed pipefish)
Lineage: Eukaryota; Metazoa; Chordata; Actinopteri; Syngnathiformes; Syngnathidae
Exons: 2
Source: RefSeq, a predicted model, not a curated record